ACCAAAUGAAAAAAGAAGGAUUCUCUCGCGCGGGUCUUAAAUAAAAAAGGGGAAAAAAACCAAGGGUCAAAAAUCCAGGUCUUGAAGAAACGCGGGUCAAAAAUUAUCGUGUCUUUCAGAAUUGCCAAAUCUUCUUCUCUCCCUCUCUCACACUUGCCGAUCCACAGCAAUUCUUCCUUCUUCCUUCUUCCUUCCUUCCUUCUUCCUUCCAAUUGCCGAUUCUCUCUCCCUCAAUCCAAAGAACCGGGUCUUCCAUCUUCUCUUUCCCCGAUUCUCGCUCCCUCACAGAUCGGAAGGCAAAGCAGAGACAAACAGAUCGGAAGGUAAUGCAGAGGUAAACAGAUCAUACUUUCUUACUUUGUUGCUUGCACAACUCAAAACCCAAAAAAAAAAAGUUUCUACUGAAGAUUUUUCCUUCUACUUCUGGAACCUCUAAUUGCCUAAACCUGUCCUGCAUCUUCUAUGCCCAUUUUUUUUUGUGUGCAUAAAUUUGGUGUAUUUAUAUCACACAUUGUUAAGUUCUGUAUUUAAAUAGUCUGAUAAAUUUGGUUUUUGCUACAUGCUGGUAAAAAUUCUCUUAUAAAGUAUCUUGUUAUGGUUCCAUUAUGCAUACUGCUAUUGUCUCUAGGUGAUGGAAUCAUGCACUCUAUUUCCAUUACAAAGAACUGGGUUACCUGGAAAGAAAAGGGAAAAGAUUUCUAUUAUAAUUUGAUAGCAAGGGAAUUCCAAAUGCAACUACCAGUACACUGGAACAUAGCCUCUGAAGUGACAUGAUUUUAUUUUAUUUUUUGAUUGCUUCACAUGCAUUUCUUAGCCACACUAUUUUCUUCACCUAAUUAGUUGUAUGUGUUUCUGUUGUUCAGGUGUGCUGGAAUAACGAAUAUGGGUAUCUUAGCAAUUUCUGGGUGCAUUUCAAGUAGCUAUUGUUGGAAUGUUGAUGAUUUGUCAGCAAGUCUUGGUGCAUAUUGUUUCUGUGUUUUUGUUAGUACAACUUUUGCUUGUGUUUUCGAACCAAAUUUAAAGAGAGAGAUGGACUCUUUUAACAGAACUCUUGAAUGCUAUAACAGAUUGACUGCUGUAACAGAGAUUGACUGUCGUUGUAACCCUAACUUUUUAAUAAAGAUGAU
RNAcentral lists this long non-coding RNA (1127 nucleotides) under Panax ginseng (ginseng). RNAcentral describes it as "long non-coding RNA (PGIN_LNC013539)". The record is from RNAcentral. Lineage: Eukaryota; Viridiplantae; Streptophyta; Magnoliopsida; Apiales; Araliaceae.